This 274-nucleotide ribosomal RNA is filed under the name uncultured bacterium. RNAcentral's name for it is "partial 16S ribosomal RNA". It matches the Rfam family "Bacterial small subunit ribosomal RNA", at positions 523 to 796 of the family's 1533-position model. The record is from RNAcentral.
AUACGGAGGGGGCUAGCGUUGUUCGGAAUUACUGGGCGUAAAGCGUACGUAGGCGGACUGAUCAGUUGGGGGUGAAAUCCCAGGGCUUAACCCUGGAACUGCCUUCAAUACUGUCAGUCUUGAGAUUGGAAGAGGUGAGUGGAAUUCCUAGUGUAGAGGUGAAAUUCAUAGAUAUUAGGAGGAACACCAGUGGCGAAGGCGGCUCACUGGUCCAAUACUGACGCUGAGGCGCGAAAGCGUGGGGAGCAAACAGGAUUAGAAACCCUAGUAGUCC